Molecule: ribosomal RNA, 253 nt
Filed under: uncultured bacterium
Lineage: Bacteria
Description: partial 16S ribosomal RNA
Rfam family: Bacterial small subunit ribosomal RNA
Source: RNAcentral
UACGGAGGGUGCGAGCGUUGUCCGGAAUCAUUGGGCGUAAAGGGCGCGUAGGCGGCCUGGUCAGUCGGAUGUGAAAGCCCGGGGCUCAACCCCGGAACGGCAUCCGAGACGGCCAGGCUGGAGACCGGGAGAGGAGAGUGGAAUAGCCAGUGUAGAGGUGAAAUUCGUAGAUAUUGGCUGGAACACCGGUGGCGAAGGCGGCCAACUGGUCCGGUACUGACGCUGAGGUGCGAAAGCGUGGGGAGCAAACAGG